This is a long non-coding RNA of Mytilus californianus (California mussel), 808 nucleotides long. RefSeq lists it as uncharacterized. NCBI's taxonomy places the organism in Eukaryota, Metazoa, Mollusca, Bivalvia, Mytilida, Mytilidae. The transcript has 2 exons. The record is from RefSeq and is a predicted model, not a curated record.
CAAAUGUUACUACACGUUGUGAUCUAACGGAAUUUGGCGCGCGGCCAUUACUGUUGAGGCGGUUUGUCCAUGUAAACAUUGAGGGAGUUGAUGUGGAGAGUAGCGCCAUAAAACAUGGAAUUGAUACGGCUGGACAUAUUGGUUUGCGAGCUAAUGAAAGGUGCCAUCAUAUCAAGGUUGUUUUGUUGGUUGACAGGCUGAGACAAAGAUGAGAGGACUGUUGAAGUUGUUGUGCACGAGAUUCUGAUUUGCUAGCUGCAAGAAUUUGAACACCAUACCAUUCACUAACUAAGGAGUAGUUAUAUGUAUACAUGUCUGAAUUUGAUUCAUAUUUGUGAGUGAUGAAGUAUUGUGCUAGAAUUAUUUAUAGAAUUAAAAACUCCAAGCUGUGACAAAAACUUUUUCUACUAUGAUGCAAAAUUUCAAUCGCAGUAGUUUAUUACAGAUGAAAGAUGUGUCACAAAUAUGGAGAAUUGUACAGAAUGAGACGCUAUUAAGUUUAUUCAUCAAGUGGAUUUAUAUGCAUGUAUUAUUCAGUGAAACAAAAGCGACAACCAGAUGCAGUUUGUACACUAAAUAUGGACUUCGUAACUGUUCGCCACAAAACAUGUAUAACUAUGCGGUCUGAAAGUGGCGUUAACCACCAUCAAUCAAUCAACAUAUAGAUGCAUUUUAUGUACAAUGUAUGUACAUUGUUUAUUCACCUGAAGUUAGAAAAUUCGAUUACACUCGAGCAAAUGUGCAGUAAAAAUGAUCCGUGUGUUUUCUAAAUAUUUUAUAAAAAUAAAAUGUGAUUUAUUCCUGUGAA